Molecule: ribosomal RNA, 506 nt
Filed under: uncultured bacterium
Lineage: Bacteria
Description: partial 16S ribosomal RNA
Rfam family: Bacterial small subunit ribosomal RNA
Source: RNAcentral
GAUGAACGCUAGCUACAGGCUUAACACAUGCAAGUCGAGGGGUAACGAGAGGAGAGCUUGCUUUCCUUGUCGACGACCGGCGCACGGGUGAGUAACGCGUAUCCAACCUGCCCCCAACUAAGGAAUAACCUUGCGAAAGUAAGACUAAUACCUUAUAAUUUCCUCAGAUGUCAUCUGACGAGGAAUAAAGAUUUAUCGGUUGUGGAUGGGGAUGCGUCUGAUUAGCUUGUUGGCGGGGUAACGGCCCACCAAGGCAACGAUCAGUAGGGGUUCUGAGGGGAAGGUCCCCCACAUUGGAACUGAGACACGGUCCAAACUCCUACGGGAGGCAGCAGUGAGGAAUAUUGGUCAAUGGGCGGAAGCCUGAACCAGCCAAGUAGCGCGCAGGAUGACGGCCCUAUGGGUUGUAAACUGCUUUUAUACAGGAAUAAAGUUAGCCACGUGUGGUUAUUUGUAGGUACUGUAUGAAUAAGGACCGGCUAAUUCCGUGCCAGCCGCCGCAGUAA